This 623-nucleotide ribosomal RNA is filed under the name uncultured bacterium. RNAcentral's name for it is "bacterial SSU rRNA". The stretch from base 1 to 533 matches the Rfam family "Bacterial small subunit ribosomal RNA", at positions 338 to 873 of the family's 1533-position model. The record is from RNAcentral.
CCUACGGGAGGCAGCAGUAAGGAAUAUUGGUCAAUGGACGCAAGUCUGAACCAGCUAUGCCGCGUGAAGGAUUAAGGUCCUCUGGAUUGUAAACUUCUUUUAUCUGGGACGAAAAAAGGUCUUUCUAGACCCCUUGACGGUACCAGAUGAAUAAGCACCGGCUAACUCCGUGCCAGCAGCCGCGGUAAUACGGAGGGUGCAAGCGUUAUCCGGAUUCACUGGGUUUAAAGGGUGCGUAGGCGGGUAGGUAAGUCAGUGGUGAAAUCCUGGAGCUCAACUCCAGAACUGCCAUUGAUACUAUCUAUCUUGAAUAUUGUGGAGGUAAGCGGAAUAUGUCAUGUAGCGGUGAAAUGCUUAGAUAUGACAUAGAACACCCAUUGCGAAGGCAGCUUACUACGCAUAUAUUGACGCUGAGGCACGAAAGCGUGGGGAUCAAACAGGAUUAGAUACCCUGGUAGUCCACGCCCUAAACCGAUGGAUACUCGACAUACGCGAUACACUGUGUGUGUCUGNGNGAAGANAUAGUAUCCACCNCGGAGUACGUUCGUCGAGAAGUAGAACGUACAAAUAGAAGUUAGUACGGACGUUGAGACGNGCCGACGGACGACGACGAGGGAGGUAGG